AGAGUUUGAUCAUGGCUCAGGAUGAACGCUAGCUACAGGCUUAACACAUGCAAGUCGAGGGGAAACGACAUCGAAAGCUUGCUUUUGAUGGGCGUCGACCGGCGCACGGGUGAGUAACGCGUAUCCAACCUGCCCACCACUUGGGGAUAACCUUGCGAAAGUAAGACUAAUACCCAAUGACGUCUCUAGAAGACAUCUGAAGGAGAUUAAAGAUUUAUCGGUGAUGGAUGGGGAUGCGUCUGAUUAGCUUGGUUGGCGGGGUAACGGCCCACCAAGGCGACGAUCAGUAGGGGUUCUGAGAGGAACGGUCCCCCANAUUGGAACUGAGACACGGUCCAAACUCCUACGGGAGGCA
This 355-nucleotide ribosomal RNA is filed under the name uncultured bacterium. RNAcentral describes it as "bacterial SSU rRNA". It matches the Rfam family "Bacterial small subunit ribosomal RNA", at positions 8 to 350 of the family's 1533-position model. The record is from RNAcentral.